GACGAACGCUGGCGGCGUGCUUAACACAUGCAAGUCGAACGGAAAGGCCCUGCUUUUGUGGGGUGCUCGAGUGGCGAACGGGUGAGUAACACGUGAGUAACCUGCCCUUGACUUUGGGAUAACUUCAGGAAACUGGGGCUAAUACCGGAUAGGAGCUCCUGCUGCAUGGUGGGGGUUGGAAAGUUUCGGCGGUUGGGGAUGGACUCGCGGCUUAUCAGCUUGUUGGUGGGGUAGUGGCUUACCAAGGCCUUGACGGGUAGCCGGCCUGAGAGGGUGACCGGCGACAUUGGGACUGAGAUACGGCGCAGAGUCCUACGGGAGGCAGCAGUGGGGAAUAUUGCACAAUGGGCGGAAGCCGGAUGCAGAAACGCCGCGUGCGGGAUGACGGCCUUUGGGUUGUAAACAGCUUUCGCCUGUGACGAAGCGUGAGUGACGGUAAUGGGUAAAGAAGCACCGGCUAACUACGUG
Molecule: ribosomal RNA, 468 nt
Filed under: uncultured bacterium
Lineage: Bacteria
Description: partial 16S ribosomal RNA
Rfam family: Bacterial small subunit ribosomal RNA
Source: RNAcentral